This is a long non-coding RNA of Paramisgurnus dabryanus, 812 nucleotides long. RefSeq lists it as uncharacterized. Lineage: Eukaryota; Metazoa; Chordata; Actinopteri; Cypriniformes; Cobitidae. The record is from RefSeq and is a predicted model, not a curated record.
UUUAUUUGUCUAUAUCCUAGAUUCGCAGCUAUACACAUCCUUCUACACUGUAUGCAAACAUGCAACAUCAUUACACACAGUUCAAGGAGUCAGACUGGCAUAUGAGGAGCAAAGGAACCCAGGCAGUAGCAUCGUUUCACAAUGUUUCCAUCAUCAUCAUCAGUGGAUGCCUUUGCCGUCCGUAGCCUGAGAUUUCAGAUUUGCAGCAAAAAAAAAUGAUUUUCUCAUUUAUUGGAAUGCUGUGCAGGUAUUUGUACCUUGCAGCCAUCCAUUACAAUGUCACCAAGCCGUAACAAAAGCAGGAGAGGGAAAGUACAAGGCUAUGUUCCCAAAACACAAAUGACAUACCUUAUGUGGAGGAUGUGAUCAGGCUUGUGUUUGAUGAGGUAUUUGAAGAUAAGCUGAAGGAAACCCCGAUUCCAAUGGACCUGGCAUCACAGUUUGAGAGACCUUCAAAGGAGGACGUGAUUGCAUGCCAUCUUCAGUGCAGGGGUCGUCGAAAGCCAAAAUUGUGACCGAUCUGAUCAGGAAGCUCCAAGCGUAUCUGGAGAACAACACACGACAGGAUGAUAACCCUAAAGUGUCAUCUUAGAUAGCACCAGCUGACAAAGCUUUGAUAUGCCAUUUAUCUGAAUAGAUAGCUGUAAGAAAUGAAUUGAACAAUUUUUGAAACAAGAGCACAAUAUGGUUACUAAAGUAUGUUUAUUUGUAUAUUGUUUAACAUUUAAAUAUAUAUUUGUAAUAAAUAAAUAAAACUUUUGACUGACUAUUAUAUUUUCUUUAAAGUUGCAUCUUUUGUUCUUUUGGGUACU